Molecule: ribosomal RNA, 920 nt
Filed under: uncultured bacterium
Lineage: Bacteria
Description: bacterial SSU rRNA
Rfam family: Bacterial small subunit ribosomal RNA
Source: RNAcentral
ACGCUGGCGGCGUGCCUAAUACAUGCAAGUAGAACGCUGAAGAGAGGAGCUUGCUCUUCUUGGAUGAGUUGCGAACGGGUGAGUAACGCGUAGGUAACCUGCCUUGUAGCGGGGGAUAACUAUUGGAAACGAUAGCUAAUACCGCAUAACAAUGGAUGACUCAUGUCAUUUAUUUGAAAGGGGCAAAUGCUCCACUACAAGAUGGACCUGCGUUGUAUUAGCUAGUAGGUGAGGUAACGGCUCACCUAGGCGACGAUACAUAGCCGACCUGAGAGGGUGAUCGGCCACACUGGGACUGAGACACGGCCCAGACUCCUACGGGAGGCAGCAGUAGGGAAUCUUCGGCAAUGGGGGCAACCCUGACCGAGCAACGCCGCGUGAGUGAAGAAGGUUUUCGGAUCGUAAAGCUCUGUUGUAAGUCAAGAACGGGUGUGAGAGUGGAAAGUUCACACUGUGACGGUAGCUUACCAGAAAGGGACGGCUAACUACGUGCCAGCAGCCGCGGUAAUACGUAGGUCCCGAGCGUUGUCCGGAUUUAUUGGGCGUAAAGCGAGCGCAGGCGGUUUGAUAAGUCUGAAGUUAAAGGCUGUGGCUCAACCAUAGUUCGCUUUGGAAACUGUCAAACUUGAGUGCAGAAGGGGAGAGUGGAAUUCCAUGUGUAGCGGUGAAAUGCGUAGAUAUAUGGAGGAACACCGGUGGCGAAAGCGGCUCUCUGGUCUGUAACUGACGCUGAGGCUCGAAAGCGUGGGGAGCGAACAGGAUUAGAUACCCUGGUAGUCCACGCCGUAAACGAUGAGUGCUAGGUGUUGGAUCCUUUCCGGGAUUCAGUGCCGCAGCUAACGCAUUAAGCACUCCGCCUGGGGAGUACGACCGCAAGGUUGAAACUCAAAGGAAUUGACGGGGGCCCGCACAAGCGGUGG